This 497-nucleotide ribosomal RNA is filed under the name uncultured bacterium. RNAcentral's name for it is "partial 16S ribosomal RNA". It matches the Rfam family "Bacterial small subunit ribosomal RNA", at positions 28 to 507 of the family's 1533-position model. The record is from RNAcentral.
GAUGAACGCUGGCGGCGUGCCUAAUACAUGCAAGUCGAGCGAACAGACGAGGAGCUUGCUCCUCUGACGUUAGCGGCGGACGGGUGAGUAACACGUGGAUAACCUACCUAUAAGACUGGGAUAACUUCGGGAAACCGGAGCUAAUACCGGAUAAUAUAUUGAACCGCAUGGUUCAAUAGUGAAAGACGGUUUUGCUGUCACUUAUAGAUGGAUCCGCGCCGCAUUAGCUAGUUGGUAAGGUAACAGCUUACCAAGGCAACGAUGCGUAGCCGACCUGAGAGGGUGAUCGGCCACACUAGAACUGAGACACGGUCCAGACUCCUACGGGAGGCAGCAGUAGGGAAUCUUCCGCAAUGGGCGAAAGCCUGACGGAGCAACGCCGCGUGAGUGAUGAAGGUCUUCGGAUCGUAAAACUCUGUUAUUAGGGAAGAACAAAUGUGUAAGUAACUAUGCACGUCUUGACGGUACCUAAUCAGAAAGCCACGGCUAACUACGUG